RNAcentral lists this ribosomal RNA (551 nucleotides) under uncultured bacterium. RNAcentral's name for it is "bacterial SSU rRNA". It matches the Rfam family "Bacterial small subunit ribosomal RNA", at positions 353 to 896 of the family's 1533-position model. The record is from RNAcentral.
AGUGGGGAAUAUUGGACAAUGGGCGAAAGCCUGAUCCAGCCAUGCCGCGUGUGUGAAGAAGGCUUUCGGGUUGUAUAGCACUUUCAGUGGGGAAGAAAUCCUCGGGGCCAAUACCCUCGAGGGAGGACAUCACCCACAGAAGAAGCACCGGCUAACUCCGUGCCAGCAGCCGCGGUAAUACGGAGGGUGCGAGCGUUAAUCGGAAUUACUGGGCGUAAAGCGCGCGUAGGCGGCGUGAUAAGCCGGUUGUGAAAGCCCAGGGCUCAACCUGGGAACGGCAUCCGGAACUGUCAGGCUAGAGUGCAGGAGAGGAAGGUAGAAUUCCCGGUGUAGCGGUGAAAUGCGUAGAGAUCGGGAGGAAUACCAGUGGCGAAGGCGGCCUUCUGGACUGACACUGACGCUGAGGUGCGAAAGCGUGGGUAGCAAACAGGAUUAGAUACCCUGGUAGUCCACGCCGUAAACGAUGUCGACUAGCCGUUGGGGUCCUUGUGACCUUUGUGGCGCAGUUAACGCGAUAAGUCGACCGCCUGNAAAGUACGGCCGCAAGGUUA